Molecule: ribosomal RNA, 995 nt
Filed under: uncultured bacterium
Lineage: Bacteria
Description: bacterial SSU rRNA
Rfam family: Bacterial small subunit ribosomal RNA
Source: RNAcentral
GGGGAAUAUUGCACAAUGGGGGAAACCCUGAUGCAGCGACGCCGCGUGGAGGAAGAAGGUCUUCGGAUUGUAAACUCCUGUUGUUGGGGAAGAUAAUGACGGUACCCAACAAGGAAGUGACGGCUAACUACGUGCCAGCAGCCGCGGUAAAACGUAGGUCACAAGCGUUGUCCGGAAUUACUGGGUGUAAAGGGAGCGCAGGCGGGAAGACAAGUUGGAAGUGAAAUCUAUGGGCUCAACCCAUAAACUGCUUUCAAAACUGUUUUUCUUGAGUAGUGCAGAGGUAGGCGGAAUUCCCGGUGUAGCGGUGGAAUGCGUAGAUAUCGGGAGGAACACCAGUGGCGAAGGCGGCCUACUGGGCACCAACUGACGCUGAGGCUCGAAAGUGUGGGUAGCAAACAGGAUUAGAUACCCUGGUAGUCCACACCGUAAACGAUGAUUACUAGGUGUUGGAGGAUUGACCCCUUCAGUGCCGCAGUUAACACAAUAAGUAAUCCACCUGGGGAGUACGACCGCAAGGUUGAAACUCAAAGGAAUUGACGGGGGCCCGCACAAGCAGUGGAGUAUGUGGUUUAAUUCGACGCAACGCGAAGAACCUUACCAAGUCUUGACAUCCUGCGACGGACAUAGAAAUAUGUCUUUCCUUCGGGACGCAGAGACAGGUGGUGCAUGGUUGUCGUCAGCUCGUGUCGUGAGAUGUUGGGUUAAGUCCCGCAACGAGCGCAACCCUUACUGUCAGUUACUACGCAAGAGGACUCUGGCAGGACUGCCGUUGACAAAACGGAGGAAGGUGGGGAUGACGUCAAAUCAUCAUGCCCUUUAUGACUUGGGCUACACACGUACUACAAUGGCGUUAAACAAAGAGAAGCAAGACCGCGAGGUGGAGCAAAACUCAGAAACAACGUCCCAGUUCGGACUGCAGGCUGCAACUCGCCUGCACGAAGUCGGAAUUGCUAGUAAUCGUGGAUCAGCAUGCCACGGUGAAUACGUUCCCG